CGCGUAGGCGGUUUACACAGUCAGAUGUGAAAUUCCAGGGCUUAACCUUGGGGCUGCAUUUGAUACUGGUAGACUUGAGUGUGAUUGAGGUAGCUGGAAUGGAUAGUGUAGCGGUGAAAUGCAUAGAUAUUAUCCAGAACACCGAUUGCGAAGGCAGGUUACUAAGUCAUAACUGACGCUGAGGCACGAAAGUGUGGGGAUCAAACAGGAUUAGAUACCCCUGUA
This 225-nucleotide ribosomal RNA is filed under the name uncultured Flectobacillus sp. Its description in RNAcentral is "partial 16S ribosomal RNA". It matches the Rfam family "Bacterial small subunit ribosomal RNA", at positions 568 to 792 of the family's 1533-position model. The record is from RNAcentral. Lineage: Bacteria; Pseudomonadati; Bacteroidota; Cytophagia; Cytophagales; Flectobacillaceae.